UUCAAUCUAUUUUCUUCACACUCCUUAACAAGGAUGAUGUGAUACAUAAAAAAGCUCAGGCUUAUUGAAUUGCCAGUGCAUUAGCCACUUUCCAUUUACAGGCCCUUUAAUUUACAAGACUAAAUUAGUUAACAUCAGUGACGAGAGUUGAAAUGAAAGAGGAUGAAGGCUUAAGUGACACGGAAGAAACUUUAGCAAAGAAGACUAAAGAGCCUCACCUAAUCCAAGAUAAUACCCUUUUCCUAUUAUUGACGUGGGGAAUCUUUGAGUAAGCUUUGUCUCGUAUUAACUUAAUUAGUGGGACGAAAAAUGGAACCCUACUACUGGGGACGUUUUUCGUUAGGAUUCGCCUCAGUAACAUGGUUUUGUUGCUUCCCCUCUUACCUAAUCCUCUUUCGUUUUCUCCUCUCUUUAGACGCCCAACUUCAUUUUUCUCAUUCACAUUCACAUUCACCAGUUAACCUGUUAGAGUUCAUACUCUUCCUUUACCCCCUUAGUCAAAGCAAACACACCUGUUCAAAUGAAAACCAUGCUAUAUUGUUAAUUAGAGACGAACCUUUUUAAUUUUUAUAAAAAAAAGAAUAUAGUUAAUUAGUGUAGUGAAAUGUAUUAUUAUUGAAAAAAGUUGGAGAAUGUUCUAGCGUUGAGUAUUACGUAGGUAGCGAUGCGUUGGAUGGUUGUGGGUUGAUUACCUGGAAGAUUCUUUGCCGCGUGUCAGAGUCUUUCAGCCAUAACCACAGGUUCAUCAUCAAACUUUUGGGCCGUACUAGUCAAGCCACGGGUCAUGAAUCACCACCCUUCUCAAACUUCUAAAUCCAUCGUCUUCAGUUCCCACAAAAAUUUUCUGUAAUUGAAAAAUAGAAGCACCACCCACGUGUCACAAAUUGACCAUCAAAGAAUCUACACAUGUAUCACCUCCUGGGGUAUUGCCGGAUUACCCAAAACAAAAGUUACUUUCUUCCUCUCACUUUAGUUUCUUCUUUUGGACUCGUUGUUAUC
Molecule: long non-coding RNA, 999 nt
Filed under: Phaseolus vulgaris (common bean)
Lineage: Eukaryota; Viridiplantae; Streptophyta; Magnoliopsida; Fabales; Fabaceae
Description: long non-coding RNA (PVUL_LNC004516)
Source: RNAcentral